RNAcentral lists this ribosomal RNA (262 nucleotides) under uncultured bacterium. Its description in RNAcentral is "partial 16S ribosomal RNA". It matches the Rfam family "Bacterial small subunit ribosomal RNA", at positions 1229 to 1500 of the family's 1533-position model. The record is from RNAcentral.
UAGGCAGGUACAGAGGGAUGCUACCGGGCGACCGGAUGCGGAUCUCGAAAGCCUGUCCCAGUUCGGACUGGAGUCUGCAACCCGACUCCACGAAGUUGGAUUCGCUAGUAAUCGCGCAUCAGCCAUGGUGCGGUGAAUACGUUCCCGGGCCUUGUACACACCGCCCGUCAAGCCAUGGGAGCCGGGGGCGCCUGAAGUCCGGGACCGCGAGGACCGGCCUAGGGCGAAACUGGUAACUGGGGCUAAGUCGUAACAAGGUAUC